Unclassified non-coding RNA from Pongo abelii (Sumatran orangutan), 148 nucleotides. It matches the Rfam family "Metazoan signal recognition particle RNA". From Rfam's summary of the family: The signal recognition particle (SRP) is a universally conserved ribonucleoprotein. It is involved in the co-translational targeting of proteins to membranes. The eukaryotic SRP consists of a 300-nucleotide 7S RNA and six proteins: SRPs 72, 68, 54, 19, 14, and 9. Lineage: Eukaryota; Metazoa; Chordata; Mammalia; Primates; Hominidae. The record is from Ensembl.
GCCGGGCGUGGUGGCACAUGCCUGUAAUCCCAGCUACUCGGGAGGCUGAGGCAGGAGAAUCGCUUGAACCCAGGAGGCAGAGGUUGCAGUGAGCCGAGAUUGUACCACUGCACUCCAGCCUGGGAGACAGAGCGAGACCCUGUCUCAA